RNAcentral lists this long non-coding RNA (486 nucleotides) under Vigna radiata. RNAcentral's name for it is "long non-coding RNA (VRAD_LNC011127)". The record is from RNAcentral. Lineage: Eukaryota; Viridiplantae; Streptophyta; Magnoliopsida; Fabales; Fabaceae.
GUGCUUAAAUGUCCGACAUUUUCCCAUUUCUGCUAAUUGUGCUUAAUUUGAUCGGAAAUUCUAAUUUUAAUUAAUUUGAAUAUUCUGAGCUAAUUAUUUGCAUUAUUAUUUUCAGGGAAAAUUUUGNAAAAUACAAUUUGGGAUAUUUGGANGUUAAAUGUGAUGUUGUAUUUCAAUUGGAAGAAGUGGGCUGCAAGGUUUUUGAAGGAAAGAAGCUUAACAUGUAAAUUGGAUGGAAUCAAUUGCCUUAUUAAAUAAAAGAGGUGCAGCCCAUACAAAAGGUCCAACAGACUUGAAGAGGGNUGCGGAUNAAAAUUUAAAUUUGGANGUGCGGCCCAGCAAAAUGAGGUGUGUCCAGCAAUUGAAAGGCUGCAGCCACAAUGUCUCGGUUCAACUUUGAAGAGUGCAUGGAAAGUCCAGAUUGGGUAUUUUUUUUUGGAAGGGGACACCACUUAACAGAAAACACGAAACCCUAGGGGAGAAGUG